UGUAACAGCUCUAUAUUUUCACUCCUACUAUGGAGUUUGACUGGACUAUUAUUAGUAGUAAACUGCUCCAUUUAUUACUAAUUUAUUUUUUAUGAUAGAACUUCUAAAUCGACGAUCGGCACCGUUAAAUAUGAUCUAGACUAUUUAAAUUAUGUAGAAAUCAAAUUUUAUGAUUUUUUGGCAUCACUAACUGAACGAUCAAAGGGUCACAAAAUUUAUAAUUUUAAUGGCCGAUAUGGUGCGUUUGCUCGUUUAACGAUAUAGAAAAGUUCAAAUCAACUAAAUUCUUGUUAAAAUUUUUUUUAAACUAUUUAAAAUAAGAUCUAGACUCUAGAUCUCAAAUAUAAAAAUUGUAUCAUCACUUUUUGAAGGAUAUUCAUUUUCAGCCAUUCAUUUUUCUGUUUACUUGAUGGACAAGAGAACAAUAUCGAAAAUGUGUGAAAUUUGAUUUUCAGAUAGUUUAAAUAGUUUAGAUCAUGUUGAACGGCGUCAAUCAUCAAUUUGGAAGUUCUAUCAUCGAAAACAAAUCGGUAGUAAACCGAGCUGUUUACUACCGAUAGUAUUCUAGCAAAACUCCCUUACUACGCUAUAAAAUAACUAUGAUUCUCAGUGUAAGUGACAAAAAAAAGUUGAUAAUUGAUAUUCGAGAUUUUAAAUUUUAAUUUUAAUUGAUUCAUAUUUUUAACUAAGUUUAUUUUUUUAAAAAAUAAACGAAGCGGAUACCAUGUUACCUUUCUUUAAAAAAGAAAACUAUGGUUCUGUAUUUUCGCUCGUAAGUAAAUUAAAGAUAAUUUAAUUAUCUGAUUCAAAUUAAAUAUUUUUUGAUAGUAAAAUUAAAUUUUUAAAAGGUUAAAUAGUUGAUUCAAAAUAAUUUAUAAUUUAGAUAAUUUUUUAAUAUAUCUUUUUGUUAAAAAAUUGAUAAAAUAUAUAAUAAAUAAAUCUGAGCCAUAAGAAGCGUAGUGUAUGAGAUUUACAUAUAUAUUAUUUGUGGAUUACGUCUCUUGUACUUUUGAAAGUAUGGACGCUUCCGUGUUUAUAAGUUUUUUUUGAUAUUCGGCCCCCUUAGGCAUAAUUUAUGUUAUUAGAAUAAUUUAUAAAUCAAAUUUCAUAACUUUUCGACAUAAUUUACCAAGUGAUUAAGAAGUCUAAAAAAAUGAUUAUCUUAACAGUUGAAGUGGUUUGUUUUUAAGUUCAACCGUGUAGAAUAAUCUAAAUUAUAUGAAAUUUUAAUAGAAAAUUCUAUUUAAUAUUAAUAGCAAGAUCGAUUCUUCGGAUUUAAAUUUUGAAUUUUUUAUUAUUAUUUUUUUAUAAGAUUUUUAUUUUUAACUGUUCAUUUUGAGGCUUCUCUAUCACUACAUAAAUUAAGUCAAAAAUUAUAAAAUUUGAUUAUAUAGUUCAAUUAUGUUUAAUGGAACCGAUCGCUGAAUCGAAUAUUCUAUCAUCAAAAAUAAUUUAGAAACUUGAAGACCUCCGUACUUUCGAAAGCAUAAGAAUCUAGCUCAUUAUUAGUAUAAAGGAUAAAUUUUAAAUACCACCCCAGUGGUUUUGCACUUUCUUGUUUUAGUACCAUGUAAUUUAAAGUGUAUCAAUUUAGUACUCUGUGGUUUCAGUUUUCUCUUUUCGUCAGUUUCUCCGUUAACUUUUCGUUAAAUUAUAUACAAAAAAACUUCAGAUCCUCCAUCUAUAGUUUAUCGAAUAUUUACUUUAAUAUCAUUUAGUUUAAACGUUUUCACUAGUUUAAUGAAAAGAUUUAGUGGAGGGGAUAACAAAAAAAUAAAAUAAAAUUAUAGAGUACGAAAGUGGUACAUCGGUCCUAGUAACCAUUUCACAAAGUGUCCUGAAUGCUUUAUCCCGGACAAAAAUUUUAUGGGCACCGUGCCCAAACAAUUUGUUUGGUUUUAUCCCUAUCCCGCCGGUUAGUGGGUUUUUCAUUAGUUGGUCAUCCACCUUUAAAUUACAGAAUAUUAAAGUGAAAAAAUACGAAAUCAGAACAGUAAUAUUUGAAGUUUCCCUAGUAUAUAUGUAGCAUUGUUGAUUGUUGAUAUGAUAUGUAACAAUCGAUGUU
RNAcentral lists this long non-coding RNA (2065 nucleotides) under Ananas comosus (pineapple). RNAcentral describes it as "long non-coding RNA (ACOM_LNC002780)". The record is from RNAcentral. Lineage: Eukaryota; Viridiplantae; Streptophyta; Magnoliopsida; Poales; Bromeliaceae.